GACCAUCUCGAGCAGCUGAAGCUCCAAUGUGGUGGAUUCAUAUUUUCUCCUCGGACCUUGAAAAUUUAUGGUGGGGACACGCAAACUUCUCAACAGGCCGUACCAAUAUCCGCAGCUGGUCUCCAAGGUGAAGAGUCUCUAGUCGAUAGAAUAAUGUAGGUAAGGGAAGUCGGCAAAUUAGAUCCGUAACUUCGGGAUAAGGAUUGGCUCUGAAGAUUGAGAUAGUCGGGCUUGAUUGGGAAACAAUAACAUGGUUUAUGUGCUCGUUCUGGGUAAAUAGAGUUUCUAGCAUUUAUGUUAGUUACUUGUUCCCCGGAUAGUUUAGUUACGUAGCCAAUUGUGGAACUUUCUUGCUAAAAUUUUUAAGAAUACUAUUUGGGUUAAACCAAUUAGUUCUUAUCAAUUAUAACGAUUAUCAAUUAACAAUCAAUUCAGAACUGGCACGGACUUGGGGAAUCCGACUGUCUAAUUAAAACAAAGCAUUGUGAUGGCCCUAGCGGGUGUUGACACAAUGUGAUUUCUGCCCAGUGCUCUGAAUGUCAAAGUGAAGAAAUUCAAGUAAGCGCGGGUCAACGGCGGGAGUAACUAUGACUCUCUUAAGGUAGCCAAAUGCCUCGUCAUCUAAUUAGUGACGCGCAUGAAUGGAUUAACGAGAUUCCUACUGUCCCUAUCUACUAUCUAGCGAAAACCCAGCCAAGGGAACGGGCUUGGAAUAAUUAG
This 720-nucleotide non-coding RNA is filed under the name Drosophila simulans. RNAcentral's name for it is "Eukaryotic large subunit ribosomal RNA". It matches the Rfam family "Eukaryotic large subunit ribosomal RNA", at positions 1744 to 2397 of the family's 3401-position model. The record is from Rfam by way of RNAcentral. Lineage: Eukaryota; Metazoa; Arthropoda; Insecta; Diptera; Drosophilidae.